UAGAAGAGUGUGAUUUAAAGAAGUGUUUCUCUGUAGCUACUGCAAAUACCAUAAAAAAUUGUUAUCAGUUGCAAAGAUAGUUUAGUGUGUGCAUGGGGGGAAACUUCCUAAGUGUGGGAAAUGAGUGGGACAAGCUGCAAAAAGAACUCACGGAGUCGGCUUCACUGGAAUUGUUUUAAAUUACCACUUUAACACCUAUGGGAUUGCCAAAGCUCCCUUCUGCAUGCAUACAGUGGGAUUACAUGAUGCUCAGGGGCUGUAUAGGGACUAUGUUCCCUUUAUGCCUCAGAACCCUGACCGCAGACAGUCAUCAAGCAUACAUCUGUCAGAAGUUAUUGGAGGAAAAUAGUGGCAGAAGGAAACUAAAAACACCUACAUCUCUUUGAUUUUUCCAUGCAGACCUCUGAGUCUGAGAAGAUUUAUGCAACUAAACCUAGUUCUUUGCAAUUCUACUGCAUUAGAGUAUUAUAUUAUCUUCCUGUUCUCUAAAACACCUCACUCAUGUUCAUGAAACUCUCCUCCAAGAGAAAAGCACAGAACAGCUCGAUUUGCUCUUAAAGCACAAACAUGCUUUAUGAGCAGUGGAUGCACAUUGGCUGAUGAAGAAUCCCAACUGUCUGGGUAUAUGGGAUAAUUGUUCCACUUGGGACUCAUUAGCUAAUUGUUAAAAGAUUCUAAUGAAAAGCAUUUCAUAAA
Long non-coding RNA from Oxyura jamaicensis (ruddy duck), 696 nucleotides. RefSeq lists it as uncharacterized. The record is from RefSeq and is a predicted model, not a curated record. The transcript has 2 exons. NCBI's taxonomy places the organism in Eukaryota, Metazoa, Chordata, Aves, Anseriformes, Anatidae.